ACGCACGCUGGCGGCGUGCUUAACACAUGCAAGUCGAACGGAAAGGCCCUGCUUUUGUGGGGUGCUCGAGUGGCGAACGGGUGAGUAACACGUGAGUAACCUGCCCUUGACUUUGGGAUAACUUCAGGAAACUGGGGCUAAUACCGGAUAGGAACUCCUGCUGCAUGGUGGGGGUUGGAAAGUUUCGGCGGUUGGGGAUGGACUCGCGGCUUAUCAGCUUGUUGGUGGGGUAGUGGCUUACCAAGGCUUUGACGGGUAGCCGGCCUGAGAGGGUGACCGGCCACAUUGGGACUGAGAUACGGCCCAGACUCCUACGGGAGGCAGCAGUGGGGAAUAUUGCACAAUGGGCGGAAGCCUGAUGCAGCAACGCCGCGUGCGGGAUGACGGCCUUCGGGUUGUAAACCGCUUUCGCCUGUGACGAAGCGUGAGUGACGGUAAUGGGUAAAGAAGCACCGGCUAACUACGUG
RNAcentral lists this ribosomal RNA (467 nucleotides) under uncultured bacterium. RNAcentral's name for it is "partial 16S ribosomal RNA". It matches the Rfam family "Bacterial small subunit ribosomal RNA", at positions 29 to 507 of the family's 1533-position model. The record is from RNAcentral.